GCUUUUGUGGUGGAAAAACCACGGCAGGCUUUCAAUCUGUAGGUGGGAGAAAUCUCCCCAAAAGUU
This is a non-coding RNA of Mya arenaria, 66 nucleotides long. NCBI's taxonomy places the organism in Eukaryota, Metazoa, Mollusca, Bivalvia, Myida, Myidae. The record is from the annotation of a RefSeq genome assembly.